Molecule: long non-coding RNA, 3293 nt
Organism: Saccostrea cuccullata (small rock oyster)
Lineage: Eukaryota; Metazoa; Mollusca; Bivalvia; Ostreida; Ostreidae
Exons: 5
Source: RefSeq, a predicted model, not a curated record
GGAACAACUCUGAAAAUAAAGGAGAUGUUUAUUUUCCUCCCUUUUUUUCAAGGUUUUCCACGGAAUCAGAUACAUUUCCAGCAAGACCUGAUAAAUCUGACAAUUGAAUACUAUAGACCUCAUAUACACAAUAGAGAAGAAAACUGACUUUAAAAGAAAACCGGUGAGAUUAAAUCAUAUGAAAUGUAUGAUGAAUCAGGAUGUGAUCAUUUGAGGCAUUCACCAAUGUCAUUACUAAUGACAAACAAGAGAAACGGAGACGGGAGAAUGGAAAGACUGAUCUUCACAGACAGCAGUCAAAACAAAGCAAAAAAAAAGCGUUCAAAACUGGAAAGAAGAAAGAAGGCUGUGGAAUAUCUUAAGUUAUCUAGACGAGUCAUUGCCCCAACAUCUAAAAAGAACUUGACGGAGUGCCUUCAAUUGGACAUAACUUCACCCGAGAAGACUGAUGACAAAAACUCAACAAAGAGGGUCAGGCUUCCAUUUCCCUGGAAAUCAACCAGACUGUGCAAGGGAAAAGAGGCACUGGACAAGGCAUAUAGACACAAGGUCCUGAAGACCGAAUCUGCAGAUGCCAGUUGGUAUUUGUAAAGGAUGGUAGAGAGGACACAACAACACCUCCUACUGAGAAGUGUCCACUUUUGGCCAUUUCCAGGGAUUACUCCUCAUAGAGGUCAAACGAGGAUUCAGCUAUCAAAAGAAUACAAGAAAAAGAACUUUUUUUAAUUCUGUGGUUGGGGAUUUCCAGAUCUAAGUAUUGAUAGUUGUUUUUUUUUUUUUAUGUACCUGUAAUCAACAGUUCAGGGUAUGUAGUUUUUGCAUUGUUGGUCUGUCUGUCUGCAAAAGUGUAAACCAUGCAGGCCUAAAGCUUUUGAGUGAUGGGGCAACUGAUUUCACAGACGUAUUUUUAGUGACCAGACUUGUUGACCUCUUUACAUGGACCUUUGAGUUUCAUCCACUUUUAACAAAAAAAUUAAACUGUAUUCUUGGCCACAACUUUCAAAUAGUUGAUGCUUAUUGCAUUCCAUUCGACAAGACUUUCAACAGGUAUAAAUAUUUUUUGACAUUGACCUUCGAGUUGGACUCACUUUUAAAAUAUUUUAACCUUGGACAGAACUUUUAAAAAGUACUAAGGCUUUCAUUUCAACAGUGAAAAAACCUUUCUCUCGAUACCAACAUUUUUUACCUUGACCUUUGACUUGCAAAUAAGAAACUACAACACACAUAGUAAGCUGUCAUUUCCGGGCAUCAGUAUUUCACAAACACAUUUUUAAUUCAACAAGCAAAUUCAAAGAAUUGUGGUCCCCCGUUUUCAGUUUCUUUUGGGUGAGAUGUCAUAUUUUAUGACAUUUUGCGUAUAAUAUGAAUGCCUUAUCAUAAGUUAUCUAUUUAGGAAUUAUCACUGAACUUCAAGGCUAAUGUAAAAUGGUUAACAUUCUUGUAUACAAUGAAAAGUUUUCUCAAAAGGAUUACAUACAUGAAGUAUGAAAGCCUAGCCCUUACCAUUCAAAAGUUUUCUCAUAAGUACUAAAAAUCUCAAAGGUUGAAAGGUCAAGGUUGUUGGUUUCAAAGGAAAGGUCUUUCCACAAAAAAUACAUUUGUGAAGUAUGAAAGUUCUGGUAUCUACUGUUCAAAAGUUGUGGCCAAGGUAAAAGUUUUUGAAAAGUAGGUCAAAUUCCAAGGUCAAGGUCCAGAAGGCAAGUUCUUGGCAUACAAUGAAAAGUCUUCUCACAAGAAUUAUAAAUUUGAAGUAUGAAAGCCAUUACCAUUCUAAACUUUUGGUUAAGGUUAAAGUUUUCUUAUAAGUACAGAAACAUCCUAGGUCAAGGUCAGAAGGUCAAAGUUGUUGGUAUCCAAUAAAAGGUCUUCCUACAAAAAAUACAUAUGUGAAAUAUGAAAGUCCUAGUACCUUCCAUUCAAAAGUUAUGGCCACAGUCAAAGUUUGGAAUUUUUGUGUAAAAUUGGGUCAAACUCCAAGGUCAAGGUCAACAGAUCGAAUUUGAUGGUACCCAAAGAUAGUUCUUGUCUUAAGGAAUACACAUAUGAAAUAUGAAAGUCAUGGCUCCACUAAAUCAAAAGUUACGGGCAAGGUUAAAGUUUUAUGUGACGGAUGGACAUCUAGAUAGACGGACAGACAAAUGAGAUUUAAUAUCCCCUCGCUUUCCGGAAAACAGGGGACAAUUAUUAAUAGCUUUAAGCCGUUCAAGCAGUAGAAUACAGUAGAAUUCAGAGGCUAUAUUUUGUCAAUACCCCAAGAAUCGGAUACUAUGAUUAUGAAAGUAAAUUUCUGUUUUUCAUUUAUAUUCAUCAUUUGAUAGUCGAUGCGAUACCUUGAUUUUAAUGUCCUGUUCACAGGAUGAGUUUAAUUUGCAGUAAAUUAAUGCAAAGUAAACAAAUGCCAAUCAAACUAAAAAGAAUUAAAUUGCAUUCACACAACAGCUAAUGGGAAGUAAGGCUAUUAUGACGUCAUUUGCAAAUUGCGUCACCUAAUGCAGGAGCAGCUGCAAUUGACAUAAUAUUACAGUGUCUGUAUACACAUUUUAGUAAUUAAAACAAUUUUCCUUAGUUUUUACUUGAAAAUAGCACAAAUACUUCAAUUUGACUACAGACAUGUGGUAUUUGACUAAUUUUGUCAUUACGCAUGCCUCAAAAUUUAAUUGGAAUCAGCUUCGCAUAGCGUUCACAUGGAGCUAAUGCGAAGUAAUUAAUGUGCUGUAAACUAAUUAGAAUUAAACUAAUUUGUAUUAAAUUCUCCAUGUGAACGCUAAGCAAAGCUAAUUCCCAGUAACUUAUGUCUAAUUCGAAUUAAAUUCUCCGUGUGAACAGGGCAUAAAUAUCAAUAGUCACUAAUUUGGUUUUCAUGUAUAAAAUAUUUAUAUGAUAGUAGCUAAAUUACCUGGCCAAGUUUGUAUUUUUGUUUUACAUAAAGAUGCAGUGUUGAUGUUUUGACAUAUUUUUGUAAAAAUUGUUAUGCUUUUUCAUAGAUUGAUUUUUAUAAUACUGUAGUAACUUAAUUGAGUCCCUGAAUGUCAGUAGUCACUUAUUUGGUUUUAAUUUAUAAAAUAUUGUAUUUUUUAUAAUUAUAGUAUUGUAACUAAAACCAAGACAUGAUUUUCUUUUACUUUGUACAUAUACAAUGUCGAUGCUUUGAUAUAUCUGUAAAAUUUGUUAUCCUUUUUCAUAGAUUUAUUUUGUUCGCAUAACACUUAAGUACAUGUAACUGAAUUGAGUAACUAUUUUUCAUUUUUGUGAAUUUGAAUAGAUAGUUUUAUUAAUAUAAUAUCUGAGAAUAC